UACGGGGGGAGCAAGCGUUGUUCGGAUUUACUGGGCGUAAAGGGCGCGUAGGCGGCCUCCGCAAGUCAGUUGUGAAAUCUCCGAGCUUAACUCGGAAAGGUCAACUGAUACUGCGGGGCUAGAGUGCGGAAGGGGCAACUGGAAUUCUUGGUGUAGCGGUGAAAUGCGUAGAUAUCAAGAGGAACACCUGCGGCGAAGGCGGGUUGCUGGGCCGACACUGACGCUGAGGCGCGAAAGCUAGGGGAGCGAACGGGAUUAGAUACCCCGGUAGUCCUAGCCUUAAACGAUGAAUGCUUGGUGUCUGGGGUUAUAUAGUCCCCGGGUGCCGUCGCUAACGCUUUAAGCAUUCCGCCUGGGGAGUACGGUCGCAAGACUGAA
This 378-nucleotide ribosomal RNA is filed under the name uncultured bacterium. RNAcentral's name for it is "bacterial SSU rRNA". It matches the Rfam family "Bacterial small subunit ribosomal RNA", at positions 524 to 898 of the family's 1533-position model. The record is from RNAcentral.